AUUGAACGCUGGCGGCAUGCUUUACACAUGCAAGUCGAGCGGCAGCGCGGGGGCAACCCUGGCGGCGAGCGGCGAACGGGUGAGUAAUGCAUCGGAACGUACCCUGGAGUGGGGGAUAACGCCGCGAAAGCGGCGCUAAUACCGCAUAUGCUCUGAGGAGGAAAGCGGGGGCUCGCAAGACCUCGCGCUCUGGGAGCGGCCGAUGUCCGAUUAGCUAGUUGGUGGGGUAAAGGCUUACCAAGGCGACGAUCGGUAGCUGGUCUGAGAGGAUGAUCAGCCACACUGGGACUGAGACACGGCCCAGACUCCUACGGGAGGCAGCAGUGGGGAAUUUUGGACAAUGGGGGCAACCCUGAUCCAGCCAUGCCGCGUGAGUGAAGAAGGCCUUC
This 389-nucleotide ribosomal RNA is filed under the name uncultured bacterium. Its description in RNAcentral is "bacterial SSU rRNA". It matches the Rfam family "Bacterial small subunit ribosomal RNA", at positions 28 to 419 of the family's 1533-position model. The record is from RNAcentral.